This 497-nucleotide ribosomal RNA is filed under the name uncultured bacterium. Its description in RNAcentral is "partial 16S ribosomal RNA". It matches the Rfam family "Bacterial small subunit ribosomal RNA", at positions 28 to 507 of the family's 1533-position model. The record is from RNAcentral.
GAUGAACGCUGGCGGCGUGCCUAAUACAUGCAAGUCGAGCGAACGGACGAGAAGCUUGCUUCUCUGAUGUUAGCGGCGGACGGGCGAGUAACACGUGGAUAACCUACUUAUAAGACUGGGAUAACUUCGGGAAACCGGAGCUACUACUGGAUAAUAUUUUGAACCGCAUGGUUCAAAAGUGAAAGACGGUCUUGCUGUCACUUAUAGAUGGAUCCGCGCUGCAUUAGCUAGUUGGUAAGGUAACGGCUUACCAAGGCAACGAUGCAUAGCCGACCUGAGAGGGUGAUCGGCCACACUGGAACUGAGACACGGUCCAGACUCCUACGGGAGGCAGCAGUAGGGAAUCUUCCGCAAUGGGCGAAAGCCUGACGGAGCAACGCCGCGUGAGUGAUGAAGGUCUUCGGAUCGUAAAGCUCUGUUAUUAGGGAAGAAAAUAUGUGUAAGUAACUGUGCACAUCUUGACGGUACCUAAUCAAAAAGCCACGGCUAACUACGUG